This 685-nucleotide ribosomal RNA is filed under the name Achromobacter insolitus. RNAcentral's name for it is "bacterial SSU rRNA". It matches the Rfam family "Bacterial small subunit ribosomal RNA", at positions 763 to 1453 of the family's 1533-position model. Lineage: Bacteria; Pseudomonadati; Pseudomonadota; Betaproteobacteria; Burkholderiales; Alcaligenaceae. The record is from RNAcentral.
GGGGAGCAAACAGGAUUAGAUACCCUGGUAGUCCACGCCCUAAACGAUGUCAACUAGCUGUUGGGGCCUUCGGACCUUGGUAGCGCAGCUAACGCGUGAAGUUGACCGCCUGGGGAGUACGGUCGCAAGAUUAAAACUCAAAGGAAUUGACGGGGACCCGCACAAGCGGUGGAUGAUGUGGAUUAAUUCGAUGCAACGCGAAAAACCUUACCUACCCUUGACAUGUCUGGAAUUCCGAAGAGAUUUGGAAGUGCUCGCAAGAGAACCGGAACACAGGUGCUGCAUGGCUGUCGUCAGCUCGUGUCGUGAGAUGUUGGGUUAAGUCCCGCAACGAGCGCAACCCUUGUCAUUAGUUGCUACGAAAGGGCACUCUAAUGAGACUGCCGGUGACAAACCGGAGGAAGGUGGGGAUGACGUCAAGUCCUCAUGGCCCUUAUGGGUAGGGCUUCACACGUCAUACAAUGGUCGGGACAGAGGGUCGCCAACCCGCGAGGGGGAGCCAAUCCCAGAAACCCGAUCGUAGUCCGGAUCGCAGUCUGCAACUCGACUGCGUGAAGUCGGAAUCGCUAGUAAUCGCGGAUCAGCAUGUCGCGGUGAAUACGUUCCCGGGUCUUGUACACACCGCCCGUCACACCAUGGGAGUGGGUUUUACCAGAAGUAGUUAGCCUAACCGUAAGGGGGGCGA